RNAcentral lists this ribosomal RNA (118 nucleotides) under Pteropus alecto (black flying fox). Lineage: Eukaryota; Metazoa; Chordata; Mammalia; Chiroptera; Pteropodidae. The record is from RNAcentral. RNAcentral also lists the same sequence under 1 other name.
GUCUAUGGCCAUGCCACCCUGAACGUGCUUGAUCUCGUCUGAUCAUGAAAGCUAAGCAGGGUUGGGCCUGGUGGUACUUGGAUGGGAGACCACCUUGGAAUAGCAGGUGCUGUAGGUG